UACGUAGGGUGCAAGCGUUAAUCGGAAUUACUGGGCGUAAAGCGUGCGCAGGCGGUUCCGCAAGUCAGAUGUGAAAUCCCCGGGCUCAACCUGGGAACUGCAUUUGAAACUACGGAGCUAGAGUGUGUCAGAGGGGGGUGGAAUUCCACGUGUAGCAGUGAAAUGCGUAGAGAUGUGGAGGAACACCAAUGGCGAAGGCAGCUGACUACAGGGAUAUUGACACUGAGGCACGAAAGCGUGGGGAUCAAACAGG
This 253-nucleotide ribosomal RNA is filed under the name uncultured bacterium. RNAcentral describes it as "partial 16S ribosomal RNA". It matches the Rfam family "Bacterial small subunit ribosomal RNA", at positions 524 to 776 of the family's 1533-position model. The record is from RNAcentral.